UACGGAGGGUGCAAGCGUUAUCCGGAUUCACUGGGUUUAAAGGGUGCGUAGGAGGGUAGGUAAGUCAGUGGUGAAAUCUUCGAGCUUAACUCGGAAACUGCCGUUGAUACUAUCUAUCUUGAAUACCGUGGAGGUGAGCGGAAUAUGUCAUGUAGCGGUGAAAUGCUUAGAUAUGACAUAGAACACCAAUUGCGAAGGCAGCUCACUACGCGAAUAUUGACACUGAGGCACGAAAGCGUGGGGAUCGAAACAAGG
Molecule: ribosomal RNA, 255 nt
Filed under: uncultured bacterium
Lineage: Bacteria
Description: partial 16S ribosomal RNA
Rfam family: Bacterial small subunit ribosomal RNA
Source: RNAcentral